GACGAACGCCGGCGGCGUGCCUAAUACAUGCAAGUAGAACGCUGAAGAGAGGAGCUUGCUCUUCUUGGAUGAGUUGCGAACGGGUGAGUAACGCGUAGGUAACCUGCCUUGUAGCGGGGGAUAACUAUUGGAAACGAUAGCUAAUACCGCAUAACAAUAGGUGACACAUGUCAUUUAUUUGAAAGGGGCAAUUGCUCCACUACAAGAUGGACCUGCGUUGUAUUAGCUAGUAGGUGAGGUAACGGCUCACCUAGGCGACGAUACAUAGCCGACCUGAGAGGGUGAUCGGCCACACUGGGACUGAGACACGGCCCAGACUCCUACGGGAGGCAGCAGUAGGGAAUCUUCGGCAAUGGGGGCAACCCUGACCGAGCAACGCCGCGUGAGUGAAGAAGGUUUUCGGAUCGUAAAGCUCUGUUGUAAGUCAAGAACGAGUGUGAGAGUGGAAAGUUCACACUGUGACGGUAGCUUACCAGAAAGGGACGGCUAACUACGUG
Molecule: ribosomal RNA, 497 nt
Filed under: uncultured bacterium
Lineage: Bacteria
Description: partial 16S ribosomal RNA
Rfam family: Bacterial small subunit ribosomal RNA
Source: RNAcentral